GACGAACGCUGGCGGCGUGCCUAACACAUGCAAGUCGAACGGAGAUGUUGAUUUCGGUUGACGUCUUAGUGGCGAACGGGUGAGUAACGCGUGAACAAUCUGACCUUAAGAGGGGGAUAACAACGAGAAAUCGUUGCUAAUACCGCAUAAGACCACAAUGCCGCAUGGCGAAGGGGUCAAAGGAAGCAAUCCGCUUAAGGAGGGUUCGCGUCCCAUUAGGUAGUAGGUGAGGUAACGGCCCACCUAGCCGACGAUGGGUAGCCGAGCUGAGAGGCUGAUCGGCCACACUGGAACUGAGACACGGUCCAGACUCCUACGGGAGGCAGCAGU
Molecule: ribosomal RNA, 330 nt
Filed under: uncultured bacterium
Lineage: Bacteria
Description: bacterial SSU rRNA
Rfam family: Bacterial small subunit ribosomal RNA
Source: RNAcentral